CAGCCGCCACGGUAAUACGGAGGGUGCAAGCGUUAAUCGGAAUUACUGGGCGUAAAGCGCACGCAGGCGGUCUGACAAGUCAGAUGUGAAAUCCCCGGGCUUAACCUGGGAACUGCAUUUGAGACUGUCAGGCUGGAGUCUUGUAGAGGGGGGUGGAAUUCCAGGUGUAGCGGUGAAAUGCGUAGAGAUCUGGAGGAAUACCGGUGGCGAAGGCGGCCCCCUGGACAAAGACUGACGCUCAGGUGCGAAAGCGUGGGGAGCAAACAGGAUUAGAUACCCCUGUAGUCCCUGUCUCUUAUAC
RNAcentral lists this ribosomal RNA (301 nucleotides) under uncultured bacterium. Its description in RNAcentral is "partial 16S ribosomal RNA". It matches the Rfam family "Bacterial small subunit ribosomal RNA", at positions 509 to 807 of the family's 1533-position model. The record is from RNAcentral.